AUUGAACGCUGGCGGCAUGCUUUACACAUGCAAGUCGAGCGGCAGCGCGGGGGCAACCCUGGCGGCGAGCGGCGAACGGGUGAGUAAUGCAUCGGAACGUACCCUGGAGUGGGGGAUAACGCCGCGAAAGCGGCGCUAAUACCGCAUAUGCUCUGAGGAGGAAAGUGGGGGACCGCAAGGCCUCACGCUCUGGGAGCGGCCGAUGUCCGAUUAGCUAGUUGGUGGGGUAAAGGCUUACCAAGGCGACGAUCGGUAGCUGGUCUGAGAGGAUGAUCCGCCACACUGGGACUGAGACACGGCCCAGACUCCUACGGGAGGCAGCAGUGGGGAAUUUUGGACAAUGGGCGGAAGCCUGAUCCAGCCAUGCCGCGUGAGUGAAGAAGGCC
Molecule: ribosomal RNA, 386 nt
Filed under: uncultured bacterium
Lineage: Bacteria
Description: bacterial SSU rRNA
Rfam family: Bacterial small subunit ribosomal RNA
Source: RNAcentral